AGCUGGAAAAAGCUGCUAGUAAACAAAGACAUCAGAAAGCAGGGGCUUUAGGUGUAGCCCACGCUUUCUGACGCACUAAUUAGAUUUAGUAACUGACACCCCAUACCAGCAUUACAUAGACACUUGGGGGCUGAGAUGGGUGGGUGGGGAGGGUGGGUGGUGUUAAAAGCACUUUAUGUUUUGUAGAUGUAUUUUUUCAGACAGGGCACACACAGUCCUGUUUCCUUUGUGGGAAAACCUUCGAACUUCACCAUUCUCAGCUGAAACAACAACAUCUUAACACCAUCUUCAUGAACUGCUGAGCCAAACCUGAUCCAUCAGUGCUGGACUGCACAGAUAACUACAUGCCACAAGGAGACUGCUGUUUUAUGAACUGCCAUACCAGUGUGUCUUCAAUGGAGAAGAUGACACACCCAUCACCUGACCUCCUGCCUGAUCUGGAGACCAUCACCAUGCUGCCACACUACACACCUCUGAGACCAUCAAUGAUGACUCAUACCGAGGAAACUGUAUUUCCUGUCAGAGAUGCUCAGUGAUCCUCAGAGCAGAGAGAGGUAUGAUUCUUUAUCUUUGAUAAAAAAUGUCAUUGCUUUUAAUUCAUUUAAUUAAUUUAAAUCCUGUUUAUUGCAUAAAGAAUUCCACACUCAAAUGAUUAUACUUGUUGACACUUUUUGAGUUUUAAUUCACAUUAUGGAUUACAAAUCUAUGCUUUUUCUACUCUGUCUCUCUGUGCAGGUAUUGCUGUCUUCUGAGUUCUUCAGUGUCCCAACUGAGACAUUCAAACCUCAUUGCAGAGCUCAUGUCUUUCCUCACCAUCAUGUGAGUGUGAGAUUGCUCUGGAUUCUGGUUAUGUGGCCUGCAGCACCUAUAAGAACAAGCUCGUCCUGUGUGCCUGCAUUCCAGCUUCUUAGACUCUACGCAAGUGGACAGAGUAUCAGUGCUUGGCCACUCUUACAGACACCGACUUCUGUCAACUCAGUGCUACUGAUCAGGCACCUCACUCCAGGAAGACAGAGGGCUGCAAGCCUGUUAUCGUUUCCAGUGUGGCUUUGUAUUCUUGGGGUAGCAUCAGAUUUUUCCCACAAAUAUUCAAAGGUAACACUUAUUUUAAGCUUAGUUAUUAAAUCAAAAGUCUUCCCUUGUGUUAAUUGUUUUAUUUUUUAUUUAUUUUUUUUCUUUUACAUUUAUAUGCAGUUAUCGGAUGUGGUGGAGCUUUGUUAA
Molecule: long non-coding RNA, 1221 nt
Filed under: Oreochromis niloticus (Nile tilapia)
Lineage: Eukaryota; Metazoa; Chordata; Actinopteri; Cichliformes; Cichlidae
Description: lncRNA (ENSONIG00000033201.1)
Source: RNAcentral